UACGUAGGUGGCAAGCGUUAUCCGGAAUUAUUGGGCGUAAAGCGCGCGUAGGCGGUCUUUUAAGUCUGAUGUGAAAGCCCACGGCUCAACCGUGGAAGGUCAUUGGAAACUGGUCGACUUGAGUGCAGAAGAGGGAAGUGGAAUUCCAUGUGUAGCGGUGAAAUGCGUAGAGAUAUGGAGGAACACCAGUGGCGAAGGCGGCUUCCUGGUCUGUAACUGACACUGAGGCGCGAAAGCGUGGGGAGCAAACAGGAUUAGAUACCCGCGUA
Molecule: ribosomal RNA, 269 nt
Filed under: uncultured prokaryote
Description: partial 16S ribosomal RNA
Rfam family: Bacterial small subunit ribosomal RNA
Source: RNAcentral